Molecule: long non-coding RNA, 350 nt
Organism: Aphis gossypii (cotton aphid)
Lineage: Eukaryota; Metazoa; Arthropoda; Insecta; Hemiptera; Aphididae
Exons: 3
Source: RefSeq, a predicted model, not a curated record
UUACUUUAAUAUAGUAAUUACAAUCAAAUAUAAAUAUUUUAACUUGAUUUGUAACAAAAUGUGUUUUGUGAUCUGAUCUGCUUUUGAAAUUUCAAUAUAACACGUAGUCACAAAAAAUAAAUUGAAAAACAUCUCAUAAGAUGCACUUGAAAAUCUAUGUUUUAUUAUCUAGCAUUGGAUACAGAAACAGCAACAAUUAACAAUACAAUAUAAAAGUUAUUUUGCUAAGGAAUGGAAAUGCCCAAAAGAAUCAUCGAAAUAAAAUUCUCAUGUGGUGAAGAUGUGGUUCAUCCGACUUGAGUGAAAAAAAUUACUUUUACUAAUAAAAAUAAAUAAAUUGCUUCACCAAA